UACAGAGGUGGCAAGCGUUGUUCGGAAUUACUGGGCGUAAAGGGCGCGUAGGCGGCCCGUCAAGUCCCGUGUGAAAUCCCUCGGCCCAACCGAGGAACUGCGCCCGAGACUGCUUCUCUUGAGUCCCGGAGAGGAAGGUGGAAUUCCCGGUGUAGCGGUGAAAUGUGUAGAGAUCGGGAGGAACACCGGUGGCGAAGGCGGCCUUCUGGACGGUGACUGACGCUGAGGCGCGAAAGCGUGGGGAGCAAGCGGG
This 253-nucleotide ribosomal RNA is filed under the name uncultured prokaryote. RNAcentral describes it as "partial 16S ribosomal RNA". It matches the Rfam family "Bacterial small subunit ribosomal RNA", at positions 524 to 776 of the family's 1533-position model. The record is from RNAcentral.